Molecule: ribosomal RNA, 468 nt
Filed under: uncultured bacterium
Lineage: Bacteria
Description: partial 16S ribosomal RNA
Rfam family: Bacterial small subunit ribosomal RNA
Source: RNAcentral
GACGAACGCUGGCGGCGUGCUUUACACAUGCAAGUCGAACGGAAAGGGCCUUCCUUGUGGGGGUGCUCGGGGGACGAACGGGUAAGUAACCCGAACGUAUCCUGCCGUGGAGGUUGAGGUAACGAAAGCAAACUGGGGCCCAUACGGGAUCGGAGCUCCUGAGCCAUGGUGGGGGUUGGAAAGUUUCGGCGGUCGGGGAUGGACGCGCGGCUUAUGAGCUUGUUGGUGGGGUAGUGGAUUACCAAGCCUUGGACGGGUCGCCGGCCUGAGAGGGUGACCGGCCACAUUGGGACUGAGAGACGGCGCAGACGCCUACGGGAGGCAGCAGUGGGGAAUAUUGCACAAUGGGCGGAAGCCUGAUGCAGCGACGCCGCGUGCGGGAUGAGGGCCUGCGGGGUGUAAACCGCUGUCGCCUGUGACGAAGCGUGAGUGACGGUAAUUGGUAAAGAAGCACCGGCUAACUACGUG